Molecule: long non-coding RNA, 262 nt
Filed under: Gossypium raimondii (Peruvian cotton)
Lineage: Eukaryota; Viridiplantae; Streptophyta; Magnoliopsida; Malvales; Malvaceae
Description: long non-coding RNA (GRAI_LNC001467)
Source: RNAcentral
GCCGGCGUGGUGGCAGAUGACCGGACCUCUGGCUGGACGAAUUGAAAGGGGAGAAGGCUUCUGAAAGUUUUUUUGUUUUUUUUUAAAUGGGGUUUCAAAUGAUUUUUUUUGGAAAAUUGGGGGUAUUUAUAGGGCACCAAAACGGUGUCGUUUUGGAGAGCCCCCAGAUGCCCAAAACGGCGUCGUUUUGGGGAGACCGACCCAGCUCCGACCCGACCCGGCCUAGGAUCCGCGUGUUUUUUUAGCGGAGGGGAAAAUUACA